RNAcentral lists this transfer RNA (71 nucleotides) under Alosa alosa (allis shad). RNAcentral's name for it is "tRNA-Val". Lineage: Eukaryota; Metazoa; Chordata; Actinopteri; Clupeiformes; Clupeidae. The record is from RNAcentral.
GGCAAAUUAGCAGUGGUAGCAUCACCGCCUCACAAUCGGUUAACCCAGGUUCGAAUCUUGCGAGUCUGUCA